This 465-nucleotide ribosomal RNA is filed under the name uncultured bacterium. RNAcentral's name for it is "partial 16S ribosomal RNA". It matches the Rfam family "Bacterial small subunit ribosomal RNA", at positions 338 to 795 of the family's 1533-position model. The record is from RNAcentral.
CCUACGGGUGGCAGCAGUGGGGAAUAUUGCGCAAUGGGCGAAAGCCUGACGCAGCGACGCCGCGUGAGGGAUGAAGGUCUUCGGAUCGUAAACCUCUGUUAGCAGGGAAGAACGGUCACUGUGCUAAUCAGCAGUGAAUUGACGGUACCUGCAAAGGAAGCAACGGCUAACUCCGUGCCAGCAGCCGCGGUAAUACGGAGGGUGCAAGCGUUAAUCGGAAUUACUGGGCGUAAAGCGCUCGUAGGCGGUAUGUCAUGUCAAGGGUGAAAUCCCCGCGCUCAACGUGGGAACUGCUUUUGAAACUGGCAAACUAGAGUGUGUGAGAGGAGAGUGGAAUUCCAGGUGUAGGAGUGAAAUGCGUAGAUAUAUGGAGGAACACCAGUGGCGAAGGCGACUAUCUGGCACAAAACUGACGCUGAGGAGCGAAAGCGUGGGUAGCAAACAGGAUUAGAUACCCCAGUAGUC